CCCAGCUCGUUAUGCUAGAGCACUUUUUCAAUGUGUCCAACGAGAAGUUGUUGUAUGUCAAUCCAUAUAAACUUCCAAAGCCAUUGACUGCGCCUACCAUGGUGGCCACGGGUAACGGGGAAUCAGGGUUUGAUUCCCUACAGGGACCCUGACAAACGGCUACCACAUGCAAGGAAGGUAGCAGGCGCGCAAAUGACCAACUCCCGACGCGGGAAGGUAGUGACG
Molecule: non-coding RNA, 225 nt
Organism: Pelobates cultripes (western spadefoot toad)
Lineage: Eukaryota; Metazoa; Chordata; Amphibia; Anura; Pelobatidae
Source: the annotation of a GenBank genome assembly